AGUGAACGCUGGCGGCAGGCCUAACACAUGCAAGUCGAGCGGCAGCGCGGGUAGCAAUACCUGGCGGCGAGCGGCGGACGGGUGAGGAAUACAUCGGAAUCUACCUUGUCGUGGGGGAUAACGUAGGGAAACUUACGCUAAUACCGCAUACGACCGUAAGGUGAAAGUGGGGACCGCAAGGCCUCACGCGACUAGAUGAGCCGAUGUCGGAUUAGCUUGUUGGUGAGGUAAUGGCUCACCAAGGCGACGAUCCGUAGCUGGUCUGAGAGGAUGAUCAGCCACACUGGAACUGAGACACGGUCCAG
Molecule: ribosomal RNA, 305 nt
Filed under: uncultured Dokdonella sp.
Lineage: Bacteria; Pseudomonadati; Pseudomonadota; Gammaproteobacteria; Lysobacterales; Rhodanobacteraceae
Description: bacterial SSU rRNA
Rfam family: Bacterial small subunit ribosomal RNA
Source: RNAcentral